RNAcentral lists this ribosomal RNA (254 nucleotides) under uncultured bacterium. RNAcentral's name for it is "partial 16S ribosomal RNA". It matches the Rfam family "Bacterial small subunit ribosomal RNA", at positions 524 to 776 of the family's 1533-position model. The record is from RNAcentral.
GACGUAGGGCGCGAGCGUUGUCCGGAUUUAUUGGGCGUAAAGAGCUCGUAGGCGGCUUGUUGCGUCGACUGUGAAAACCCGCGGCUCAACCGUGUGGUCUGCAGUCGAUACGGGCAGGCUGGAGUUCGGUAGGGGAGAGUGGAAUUCCCGGUGUAGCGGUGAAAUGCGCAGAUAUCGGGAAGAACACCCGUGGCGAAGGCGGCUCUCUGGGACGGUACUGACGCUGAGACGCGAAAGCGUGGGGAGCGAACAGG